This 468-nucleotide ribosomal RNA is filed under the name uncultured bacterium. RNAcentral's name for it is "partial 16S ribosomal RNA". It matches the Rfam family "Bacterial small subunit ribosomal RNA", at positions 28 to 507 of the family's 1533-position model. The record is from RNAcentral.
GACGAACGCUGGCGGCGUGCUUAACACAUGCAAGUCGAACGGAAAGGCCCUGCUUUUGUGGGGUGCUCGAGUGGCGAACGGGUGAGUAACACGUGAGUAACCUGCCCUUGACUUUGGGUUAACUUCAGGAAACUGGGGCUAAUACCGGAUAGGAGCUCCUGCUGCAUGGUGGGGGUUGGAAAGUUUCGGCGGUUGGGGAUGGACUCGCGGCUUAUCAGCUUGUUGGUGGGGUAGUGGCUUACCAAGGCUUUGACGGGUAGCCGGCCUGAGAGGGUGACCGGCCACAUUGGGACUGAGAUACGGCCCAGACUCCUACGGGAGGCAGCAGUGGGGAAUAUUGCACAAUGGGCGGAAGCCUGAUGCAGCAACGCCGCGUGCGGGAUGACGGCCUUCGGGUUGUAAACCGCUUUCGCCUGUGACGAAGCGUGAGUGACGGUAAUGGGUAAAGAAGCACCGGCUAACUACGUG